This 520-nucleotide ribosomal RNA is filed under the name uncultured Glomus. RNAcentral's name for it is "SSU rRNA". It matches the Rfam family "Eukaryotic small subunit ribosomal RNA", at positions 569 to 1092 of the family's 1831-position model. Lineage: Eukaryota; Fungi; Glomeromycota; Glomeromycetes; Glomerales; Glomeraceae. The record is from RNAcentral.
AGCAGCCGCGGUAAUUCCAGCUCCAAUAGCGUAUAUUAAAGUUGUUGCAGUUAAAAAGCUCGUAGUUGAAUUUCGGGAUCAAUACGUCGGUCGUGCUUAGGUACGUACUGGCGUAAUUGAUUUCUCCCUUCUGACGAACCAUGAUGUCAUUAACUUGGUGUCAUGGGAAAUCAGGACUGUUACUUUGAAAAAAUUAGAGUGUUUAAAGCAGGCUCACGCUUGAAUACAUUAGCAUGGAAUAAUGAAAUAGGACGUUCGAUCCUAUUUUGUUGGUUUUAGGAUCAACGUAAUGAUUAAUAGGGAUAGUUGGGGGCAUUAGUAUUCAAUUGUCAGAGGUGAAAUUCUCGGAUUUAUUGAAGACUAACUACUGCGAAAGCAUUUGCCAAGGAUGUUUUCUAUUAAUCAAGAACGAAAGUUAGGGGAUCGAAGACGAUCAGAUACCGUCGUAGUCUUAACCAUAAACUAUGCCGACUAGGGAUCGGAUGAUGUUAAUUUUUAAUGACUCAUUCGGCGCCUUAAC